GUCAGUUUGGCCGAGUGGUCUAAGGCGCUAGACUUGAACGAAACCCGCUUCGGGUACCAUGUUUGGGCAUCUAGUAUCUUCGGAUGCACAGGUUCGAACCCUGUAGCUGACG
This is a non-coding RNA of Penicillium ucsense, 112 nucleotides long. NCBI's taxonomy places the organism in Eukaryota, Fungi, Ascomycota, Eurotiomycetes, Eurotiales, Aspergillaceae. The record is from the annotation of a GenBank genome assembly.